Long non-coding RNA from Wasmannia auropunctata (little fire ant), 386 nucleotides. RefSeq lists it as uncharacterized. The record is from RefSeq and is a predicted model, not a curated record. The transcript has 2 exons. Lineage: Eukaryota; Metazoa; Arthropoda; Insecta; Hymenoptera; Formicidae.
UGGAUAGCUCACAAUCAGCUAUCAAACGGCUGUCGCAAGAUAAUUUUGUAUAUUGGACAUAUUCGUCGAUAUUUUGAAGAAUUUUGCUUAGACAUUAUUAAAUACCGACAAUUUCACGCCCUGAAACAUCGUUAAUCGCUUCUUCCUCAUUUAGUGGGAGACGUCUAUUAUAAGAAAAUGUCUGGAAACUUCUAGAAAACGUCGCAUUAAAAGUUUUGUAGACUUCGACAAGGUUUUCCAUCAGAAACAACGUUCGCGAUCUUCAUAUUUGUACUUGAUUAAUGCAUUUUACAUUUUUGUACAUACAUGGAAGCGUUUAUAUCUAUUGUACAUAGAUUCUUCAUUUGAAUUACGCUUACACGUAUUAAAUGAAAACAGUUUCUAAA